This 427-nucleotide ribosomal RNA is filed under the name uncultured bacterium. RNAcentral's name for it is "partial 16S ribosomal RNA". It matches the Rfam family "Bacterial small subunit ribosomal RNA", at positions 355 to 774 of the family's 1533-position model. The record is from RNAcentral.
UGGGGAAUAUUGCACAAUGGGCGCAAGCCUGAUGCAGCCAUGCCGCGUGUGUGAAGAAGGCCUUCGGGUUGUAAAGCACUUUCAGCGAGGAGGAAGGGUGGUGUGUUAAUAGCACAUCACAUUGACGUUACUCGCAGAAGAAGCACCGGCUAACUCCGUGCCAGCAGCCGCGGUAAUACGGAGGGUGCAAGCGUUAAUCGGAAUUACUGGGCGUAAAGCGCACGCAGGCGGUUUGUUAAGUCAGAUGUGAAAUCCCCGCGCUUAACGUGGGAACUGCAUUUGAAACUGGCAAGCUAGAGUCUUGUAGAGGGGGGUAGAAUUCCAGGUGUAGCGGUGAAAUGCGUAGAGAUCUGGAGGAAUACCGGUGGCGAAGGCGGCCCCCUGGACAAAGACUGACUCUCAGGUGCGAAAGCGUGGGGAGCAAACA